CACGUAGGGCGCAAGCGUUGUCCGGAAUUAUUGGGCGUAAAAGAGCUCGUAGGUGGUUUUGUUACGUCUGCUGUGAAAACCUAGGGCUUAACCCUGGGCUUGCAGUUGGAUACGGGCAGACUAGAGGUAGGGUAGGGGAGAAUGGGAAUUCCUGGUGUAGCGGUGAAAUGCGCAGAUAGUCAGGAGGAACACCGGUGGCGAAGGCGGUUCUCUGGGCCUUACCUGACACUGAGGAGCGGAAAGCGUGGGGAGCGAACAGG
RNAcentral lists this ribosomal RNA (260 nucleotides) under uncultured bacterium. Its description in RNAcentral is "partial 16S ribosomal RNA". It matches the Rfam family "Bacterial small subunit ribosomal RNA", at positions 524 to 776 of the family's 1533-position model. The record is from RNAcentral.